CUUUGGCCAGCGGCGCCCUCCCCCGCCGGGGCAGCCCACCCGCAAGCCCCGCCCCGAAGGCUGGAGCUUCCCUGGGGGUGGGCGAAGCCGAGGCCACGCCCCGAAGGCGGGAGCGGCUUUGGGGAGGGACCUGGCCGCCCUCAGGGCUCCAGCGCCAAGUUCAGAGCCACGCGCUGUGCUCUUGGCCGGGAGGAGGCUGUGCUGCCCCAGCACCUCUUGUUCCACAUCUCCAGAGAGCCCAGGGUGACUUUCAGGCUGCAGUUGUUUUCAUCCCUCCCUCUGCCCCUCCCGGGGUUUAUCGUGUAUUGCUGUUAUUCUAGCCCAGGCUUGCGCUGGGCAGUAGGGUAAGAAC
Molecule: long non-coding RNA, 352 nt
Filed under: Rhinopithecus bieti (black snub-nosed monkey)
Lineage: Eukaryota; Metazoa; Chordata; Mammalia; Primates; Cercopithecidae
Description: lncRNA (ENSRBIG00000046268.1)
Source: RNAcentral